UACGAAGGUUGCAAGCGUUGUUCGGAAUCACUGGGCUUAAAGCGCAUGUAGGCGGCCCCUCAAGUGCCUUGUGAAAUGCCACGGCUCAACCGUGGAAUUGCUUGGCAUACUGUGCAGGCUUGAGGCAGGUAGAGGCAUGUGGAACUCUUGGUGGAGCGGUGGAAUGCGUAGAUAUCAAGAGGAACGCCGGUGGCGAAAGCGACGUGCUGGGCCUGUCCUGACGCUGAGAUGCGAAAGCCAGGGGA
Molecule: ribosomal RNA, 245 nt
Filed under: uncultured bacterium
Lineage: Bacteria
Description: partial 16S ribosomal RNA
Rfam family: Bacterial small subunit ribosomal RNA
Source: RNAcentral